This 711-nucleotide long non-coding RNA is filed under the name Brassica napus (rape). RNAcentral's name for it is "long non-coding RNA (BNAP_LNC018788)". Lineage: Eukaryota; Viridiplantae; Streptophyta; Magnoliopsida; Brassicales; Brassicaceae. The record is from RNAcentral.
AAUCAUAAGUCACAACUAGGAGUCUAGGACUAGUCACAACCAUCAAUUUAUUAAAAAGAUCCUAAUUUUUUUUUUUAGUAGUUCAAAUCUGCAUUGCCGUAUGUUUUAUAUAUCUAAAUUUUGACAUCCUAAAUUCUAGUUCUUAGAUGAUGUGUGAUCUUUUGAUGAGAACUUUUAUUCUCUUAACUUGAAUUUUUCUUACAAAUUGUCCUUGUUCUAGUGAAAAAGUCGUUUCCAUCACCUAAAUGGUACCAAACGAAAAAGGAAACAGUAGUUCUUUUCUCCACUGAGUGUAUAGUUAUGAUCCGUGUUCGAAAACGCGCCCGAGUUGCCGAGAUCUCGGCCGGGUAAGCGUUGGGCGUGUUGUCACCGUGGCGUGGAGGAGCUGAUCGGAGUAGCUAGGCGGUGAGUCGAUUUUGUCUUGAGUUGACCGCAGAAAUGAUGCAAUCGGUGCUUCGUAUUACAAACACGUGUUGCUUCAGUUUGAUAAUCUACAUAAUUUUGACCUCAAUCGAUACAAUUUUGAAACUUUGUGCUGUAAACUGCAAGAAAAAUGAAAAAAAAGUGAAAAAUCAUGUUUGGAAUUCAUGAACGGCGGCUAGGGUUGCAGAGAGAAGUUUGUUAAAGAGAUGAGGGUAAUAAUGUAAUUUUACUUUUUAAUGCGAAAAUGCUUAAAAUUUGAGAUGACAGAGAUUCAAACCCGAAUUAUUC